CUCUUGGUCUCGCUGAAUGUGGCGUUUGGGAGAGUCUUAUCGCGGCGUGGACGGCCAGUCAAAGUCCAACUUGACAGUGGCCAUGGCCCGUAGAGGGUGAUAGGCCCGUAAGACGGCUGUCUCACUGCGCUGACUUUUCCCUAGAGUCGGAUUGCUUGGGAGUGCAGUCCAAAGUGCGAGGUAAACUCCUCGUAAGGCUAAAUAUGACCCCGAGUCCGAUAGCAAACAAGUACCGUGAGGGAAAAUUGAAAAGAACUUUGAAGAGAGAGUUCAAGAGUACGUGAAACCGUCUAGCGGUAAAGAGAGGGGUUCUCGAAGUUUCUGAGGGGGACUCAACCUUGGUGGUGCUUGGCCUGGGCGUAUUUGAUCAGCAAUGACUUUGCGUUUAGUCCCAUGUGCCUCCCGGACGCACUUUCUCCUCAGUUUACGGCAGGAACCGUUAGAUGUGGACUGAAGGCCCAGGGUGAAGUUGUUGGUUAUGCUGGCAGCCCUUGGUGUCCU
This 501-nucleotide ribosomal RNA is filed under the name Pleuromamma abdominalis. RNAcentral's name for it is "partial large subunit ribosomal RNA". It matches the Rfam family "Eukaryotic large subunit ribosomal RNA", at positions 127 to 569 of the family's 3401-position model. Lineage: Eukaryota; Metazoa; Arthropoda; Copepoda; Calanoida; Metridinidae. The record is from RNAcentral.